AAGUCGUAACAAGGUUUCCGUAGGUGAACCUGCGGAAGGAUCAUUAUUGAUUUCGGGUAGGAAGAAAAGAGACUGUGUUGAUCACGGUCGUUCCUCUCCGAUGUCCGUUCUCACAUGAGGUCGGACGUGAAGAAUAUCCUGUGCACCUGUACCACCGCGUGACGAAUGUAGACUUACAUUUUUUCCUCUCCUUCACGGGAUUUGGUUGAAUCAUAAUCUAUAAAUAA
This 227-nucleotide unclassified non-coding RNA is filed under the name plant metagenome. RNAcentral's name for it is "partial contains small subunit ribosomal RNA and internal transcribed spacer 1". The stretch from base 1 to 46 matches the Rfam family "Eukaryotic small subunit ribosomal RNA", at positions 1786 to 1831 of the family's 1831-position model. The record is from RNAcentral.